AAAUUGAAGAGUUUGAUCAUGGCUCAGAUUGAACGCUGGCGGCAGGCCUAACACAUGCAAGUCGAACGGUAACAGGAAGCAGCUUGCUGCUUCGCUGACGAGUGGCGGACGGGUGAGUAAUGUCUGGGAAACUGCCUGAUGGAGGGGAUAACUACUGGAAACGGUAGCUAAUACCGCAUAACGUCGCAAGACCAAAGAGGGGGACCUUCGGGCCUCUUGCCAUCGGAUGUGCCCAGAUGGGAUUAGCUUGUUGGUGGGGUAACGGCUCACCAAGGCGACGAUCCCUAGCUGGUCUGAGAGGAUGACCAGCCACACUGGAACUGAGACACGGUCCAGACUCCUACGGGAGGCAGCAGUGGGGAAUAUUGCACAAUGGGCGCAAGCCUGAUGCAGCCAUGCCGCGUGUAUGAAGAAGGCCUUCGGGUUGUAAAGUACUUUCAGCGGGGAGGAAGGGAGUAAAGUUAAUACCUUUGCUCAUUGACGUUACCCGCAGAAGAAGCACCGGCUAACUCCGUGCCAGCAGCCGCGGUAAUACGGAGGGUGCAAGCGUUAAUCGGAAUUACUGGGCGUAAAGCGCACGCAGGCGGUUUGUUAAGUCAGAUGUGAAAUCCCCGGGCUCAACCUGGGAACUGCAUCUGAUACUGGCAAGCUUGAGUCUCGUAGAGGGGGGUAGAAUUCCAGGUGUAGCGGUGAAAUGCGUAGAGAUCUGGAGGAAUACCGGUGGCGAAGGCGGCCCCCUGGACGAAGACUGACGCUCAGGUGCGAAAGCGUGGGGAGCAAACAGGAUUAGAUACCCUGGUAGUCCACGCCGUAAACGAUGUCGACUUGGAGGUUGUGCCCUUGAGGCGUGGCUUCCGGAGCUAACGCGUUAAGUCGACCGCCUGGGGAGUACGGCCGCAAGGUUAAAACUCAAAUGAAUUGACGGGGGCCCGCACAAGCGGUGGAGCAUGUGGUUUAAUUCGAUGCAACGCGAAGAACCUUACCUGGUCUUGACAUCCACGGAAGUUUUCAGAGAUGAGAAUGUGCCUUCGGGAACCGUGAGACAGGUGCUGCAUGGCUGUCGUCAGCUCGUGUUGUGAAAUGUUGGGUUAAGUCCCGCAACGAGCGCAACCCUUAUCCUUUGUUGCCAGCGGUCCGGCCGGGAACUCAAAGGAGACUGCCAGUGAUAAACUGGAGGAAGGUGGGGAUGACGUCAAGUCAUCAUGGCCCUUACGACCAGGGCUACACACGUGCUACAAUGGCGCAUACAAAGAGAAGCGACCUCGCGAGAGCAAGCGGACCUCAUAAAGUGCGUCGUAGUCCGGAUUGGAGUCUGCAACUCGACUCCAUGAAGUCGGAAUCGCUAGUAAUCGUGGAUCAGAAUGCCACGGUGAAUACGUUCCCGGGCCUUGUACACACCGCCCGUCACACCAUGGGAGUGGGUUGCAAAAGAAGUAGGUAGCUUAACCUUCGGGAGGGCGCUUACCACUUUGUGAUUCAUGACUGGGGUGAAGUCGUAACAAGGUAACCGUAGGGGAACCUGCGGUUGGAUCACCUCCUUA
Molecule: ribosomal RNA, 1541 nt
Filed under: Escherichia coli
Lineage: Bacteria; Pseudomonadati; Pseudomonadota; Gammaproteobacteria; Enterobacterales; Enterobacteriaceae
Description: bacterial SSU rRNA
Rfam family: Bacterial small subunit ribosomal RNA
Source: RNAcentral